Long non-coding RNA from Stegostoma tigrinum, 2676 nucleotides. RefSeq lists it as uncharacterized. The record is from RefSeq and is a predicted model, not a curated record. Lineage: Eukaryota; Metazoa; Chordata; Chondrichthyes; Orectolobiformes; Stegostomatidae. The transcript is spliced from 5 exons.
GGAAACCACGUGAUCAGCCACGAGAGCAGUGCCGAGUCGCUUUGAUAAUAUGAACCGCAGAUGCUGGACAAUCCGAGAUAACAUGGUGCAGAGCUGGAUGAACACAGCAGGUCAAGCAGCAUCAGAGGAGCAGGAAAGCUGACGUUUCGGGCCUUGAUCCUUUGCUGAGACCAAGAUUUGUGCAAUUGAGAUACCAGCGAUCGUUGCCAAAGCCCUGUUGCCUGUGGAGAAGGUGAUGUUUAACUUUCGUGUGCUGCUGCAGUUUGUAUGAUAAAGGUGCUCCCACAAUGCGGCCAUUUGAGAAGUUACAGAUCAUUCAUUGAGCAAUACUGAAGAGCUGAUGGUGACUACGCGCUGGUCGCUGUUAUCAAUCCUGUCACGGACAGAUGCAUCUGCAGCUGGGAAAUUUGUGACGAUGAGACCAGCUAUGUUUUUCCCUUCUGUUGGUUGUGGCACCACCUGCUGCGGUCCCAGCCAGGCAGCUUUUUCCUUUGGGACCUGUCCAGCUCGAUUGGUAAUCCUGCUGCAAACUACUCCUGAUGGUGGGCAUUGAGUACAAGUAGUGCCAUUCACACUCGCAGUGCUUCCUCCAAGUGCUGUUCAACAUGGAGUUUUUUUUCAAUUAAAAUUCUCUCUUGGGAUAUGGAAAUCACCAGCUGGACCAGUGUUUAUUGCCCAGAAGGCAGUUAAUAGUAACCGCAUUGCUGUGGGUUUGGAGUCAUAUGUAUUGCAGACCAGGAUAUUGCAAGUGGACUUUCAGGUGGGAAUCUCAAUAAUUGUAGCACCAGACUCUGACAGAAUUACUCAAUUCAUCAGGACCUGGAUAUUCGCAUUAUAUUUCCACAAUUUUACUUCUGCACCGUUCUUAGUCUUUCGAGCCCUCUGAAAGACUGAGUUACAGAUCUAUACAAUGCCUGUCCUUCCUCCCUGGCUCUCCCACCUCUCUCUUAUGGUAGGUUUGUGCAAACACUGACUGGAUCCCUUACCUGGAGGAUAUUUAUUUAUGAAUUUGUUCUAAUGAUAAUCCAGCAUAUUCCCCAAGUAUCACUCCACAAAUGUCCAGAGGAUUUCUCAGUUUCACAAUCUGUGUGUGUUCUUCUGGUUCCUCGCUCACUGCACUUGCUUUCUGUUUGAAAGCUUAGUCUACAGUUGGAGAAUUCAAACAGGAACACAUCCAGAUCUGACAGUUACUUUGUUCAUCACAACUCAAUUACCUCAGGAUUUUGAACACUGAAGGAAAAAGCAGCACUCACAGUGGGGAGAAAUGCACAUGGUCUGUGAAGAUUCAUCUGAAAUGUCCUUACACCAGCUCAGUGACACUGGGGAGAGACCAUUCACCUGCUCUAAAUGUGGGAAAGCAUUCACUCAGUCAUCCAAACUGUUAACACACCAGUGGGUUCGCAAAGCAGCACAGUUGAAGGAUUUUGCUGUCACUGUCACUAUCAAAUGAACCAUGGUUUUGGGCUGUUUGUACUGAUGUUACUGAUCCCGGUUCAAUUCAAGGUACUGGUAUUGUGGAUAAAAUGUUAAUCAGUUGUGUAUCUGUCAGGUAGAGCUUGGAAAUAGUCACGUUGUCAUGACACAUCGACACAUUCACACUGACGAAAGACUAUCCACCUGCACGGUAUGUGAAAAGGGAUUUCCCGGUUCAUCAGGACUGGUUAACUAGCAGCAAAUUUCUGAGUAACUGUUAAGUUGGUUUUUGAUUCUGCUGUUAGCUAUAUACAAACCAUGUUUUUUGGGCUUGUUUCUGGAGACCAUAGGAUCCCUCCGGUGUGGAAGCAGACCAUUUAGCCCAUCAAGUCCACACUGAACUUAUGAAGAGUGUCUUACCCAGACCCUGCCUGCGUGGGUUUCCUCCAGGUUCCUCCCACAGUCCAAAAAUAUGCAAAUUGGGUAGAUUGACUAUGCUAAAUUGCCCGUAGUGUCACGUGUGUAAAAUGCAGGGACUGGGUAGGGUGGGAUGCUCUUUGGAGGGUUCGUGUGGACUCGAUGGACUGAAUGGCCAUCUUCCACACUGUAAGAAUUCUAUGAUGAUCUUGAUGGCCCUUUAUUUGUUAGUUAUGUCUGGUCAAUAUGUCUGUGCACCUUUUACAAUUACGGAUUCUAUUGCUCUCCACAGACGUGUUUCAAUUUUUAAUAGAUAUUUGUUUAUUGGAAACAAUGCAAUCUUUCCUUUUGAUUUCUAUCCACAAAAUGAAAGUUUUAAAUCGAAACAUAAAAUUGGGAUGAGUCCUGCACUACAAUCCCUGAUUGGGGAAAAUGCAAUCAGCUAUGAAACCUGGUGACCAUUGUGACUCUGUCCGGGGGAAAUGCAGUCUCCUCAGAUCCUUACCUGUUGUCCGUAGCAAUGAUGGAUCUCAUGAUGAAUACAUAUACACCAGAUAUCACACAAUGUCUUGGUUUAUUUUCUAUUUAUUCUUCUGUCCAUUACUCCACAGAGACUGAGAUAACGGUCUGGGGACCUAGGUUUGAAACCCACCAUUCCAGAUGGUAGAAUUUGAGUUUAAACAAAAAAAUCUGAAAUAAGAAUCUAAUGAUGACUGUAAAUCUGUUUUCAUUGUUGGAAAAACCUAUGUCUUUUAGGGAAGGAAACUGCCAUUCUUGUCCAGGGAUAUCAAGAUCCCAUGAAUGAAUUUUUAAAAAUUAAUUUUAAAUAAAACUCCUGCAAAUACA